CAUCUCUCAUCGUUCUCUGUGGAUGCCUCCCGUAGCAAGCACCUGGCAUCUUCACUGCCUUUUAGUGUUCUUUGUUGCGUCUAGUUCAACGUAUGAGAAGCGCGGAAGCGUGCACCGCACCAUUCUCGUACGUUUGCACGUCCCCUCCGCGCUACAUCCGAACCUGGCCACGCUAAGCGCCGCAGCCACAUCACUUCAGCGAAAACACCCGCAUCGCCGCCCCGCUCGUCCGACUCCCUCGUGAAGUGCGCAGCGAGUUUACAAAUAUCGAAAAGACCGUCACCGCUCUCGUGGCGGAGUCGUGUCCCAACCAAACGCAUACUCGACUUCCACCUGCCCGCUGAGCGACACACUCACGCUUGUUUCACCGCUACGGUGUUGCACCCAUCGCCGCUUCCGUCACAGAAGACCAGGCGCGUGUGCGUACACGUGAGAGCAACCGGUGACGAAGCGCGCUACGCUCAUCCGGCUUCUUGUUUGGCUUCCCUUUCCUCCAGCACAGUCGCUGCCAUGGGCUGGCGCUCCCUUCUCCGCCGAAAUCUCGCCCGCCCUCUUGUCUUUCUUUCCUUGCCCCGCCACCCCCAGCACCCCUCGUUGCCCAGUCAUGCUCAACAAUGCAUACAGCGAGAGGCGCGAGCACUACCUCGACCUCUUCGCAGACGAGGAGGCGCAAGCGGGUCACUACAAGGAUAAGAUGCGCUGUUUUCUUACGCUGGAAGAGGUGGUGGAGCGUCUGCGUGAGCAGCCCAGCAUUCACGAGCGUAUCGCGUCCAUCGAGGAGUUCGAGGAGCCCACUGGGCCCCUCAGCGUACUGAAAUUGUUCGCUAGGUCGCGUUGUUUUGUUGUUCUGCAGACGGCCUCGUACUGGUGGUCGCUCGAGAGGCGGGAAGACGUUAUUGUGGUGCAGCGCUCCCAGAACUUCAGCAGUGUUCACAGCAGGUGCAAAGGUGCAUAUCGCCACUAUCGCUGGCCGAUCGAGUCGGCACCAACAGCACGGCGGUGUAUGUGGUGCCGCGGUGGGCCGAAGCUCUCCGAAGUGUUUAGCGCCAUGCUGCGAGACCACGUCUUCGACCCCAAAGGCUGCGCUUCUUCCUCCUGGGAGUUCUCCGACUACGUCUUUCACCUCUGCCUUAGCGGCCGCAACGCUGACCCCAUGUGCGACAAAGGACGCUGAGUCGCGCGCCGAACACACGAAAAACCCAAAAACGGGCCUUCAUCACUGUCAGCAAUACAGCAAAAUGCACACACAAGCACGCGCACGAGCAUGAGAGCGCGAAGAGAUGAGUGGCAUCACUUCCCUCGCAGACCUGUAAAGAGGUGUGUCUGUGUGUGCGGGCGUUGAUGCAGUAUCGAACUGAAGCCGUAUUUGUAUCUUUCUCCCCCCCCCUCCCUCCCCACCACCGCUACCAUCGCCCUCUGUGGUUUCUUACCUCUCUCCCUGUUGCUCGUGAAG
This 1453-nucleotide unclassified non-coding RNA is filed under the name Leishmania donovani. Its description in RNAcentral is "gene:LdHU3.11.0130(CDS-product:hypothetical_prote in_conserved)". The record is from RNAcentral. Lineage: Eukaryota; Euglenozoa; Kinetoplastea; Trypanosomatida; Trypanosomatidae.